Molecule: ribosomal RNA, 580 nt
Filed under: uncultured Alphaproteobacteria bacterium
Lineage: Bacteria; Pseudomonadati; Pseudomonadota; Alphaproteobacteria
Description: partial 16S ribosomal RNA
Source: RNAcentral
AACGCGUUGGGAGCUCUCCCAUAUGGUCGACCUGCAGGCGGCCGCGAAUUCACUAGUGAUUCGUAUUACCGCGGCUGCUGGCACGGAGUUAGCCGAUCCUUAUUCAUAUGCUACCGUCAUAUUCGUCACAUAUAAAAGCAGUUUACAACCCUAAGGCCUUCAUCCUGCACGCGGCGUUGCUCCAUCAGGCUUUCGCCCAUUGUGGAAAAUUCCCUACUGCUGCCUCCCGUAGGAGUCUGGGCCGUGUCUCAGUCCCAGUCUGGCUGAUCAUCCUCUCAGACCAGCUAUCGAUCGUCGCCAUGGUGAGCUUUUACCUCACCAUCUAGCUAAUCAGACGCGGGCCGAUCCUUCAGCGAUAAAUCUUUCUCCUUUCGGACGUAUCCGGUAUUAGCCAAAGUUUCCCUUGGUUGUUCCGAACUGAAGGGCACGUUCCCACGUGUUACUCUCCCGUCUGCCACUCCCGUAUUGCUACGGGCGUUCGACUUGCAUGUGUUAAGCCUGCCGCCAGCGUUCGUUCUGAGCCAUGAUCAAACUCUAAUCGAAUUCCCGCGGCCGCCAUGGCGGCCGGGAGCAUGCGACG